AACGAACGCUGGCGGCAUGCCUAACACAUGCAAGUCGAACGAGACCUUCUGGUCUAGUGGCGCAAGGGUUCGUAACGCGUGGGAACCUUCCCUUAGGGUCGGAAUAACUCCCCGAAAGGGGUUCUAAUACCGGAUAAUGUCUUCGGGCCAAAGAUUUAUCGCCUUUGGAUGGGCCCGCGUUGGAUUAGCUAGUUGGUAGGGAAAAAGCCUACCAAGGCGACGAUCCAUAGCUGGUCUGAGAGGAUGAUCAGCCACACUGGGACUGAGACACGGCCCAGACUCCUACGGGAGGCAGCAGUGGGGAAUAUUGGACAAUGGGCGAAAGCCUGAUCCAGCAAUGCCGCGUGAGUGAUGAAGGCCUUAGGGUUGUAAAGCUCUUUUACCCGGGAUGAUAAUGACAGUACCGGGAGAAUAAGCUCCGGCUAACUCCGUG
This 433-nucleotide ribosomal RNA is filed under the name uncultured bacterium. Its description in RNAcentral is "partial 16S ribosomal RNA". It matches the Rfam family "Bacterial small subunit ribosomal RNA", at positions 29 to 507 of the family's 1533-position model. The record is from RNAcentral.